CCUACGGGUGGCAGCAGUGAGGAAUAUUGGUCAAUGGUCGGGAGCCUGAACCAGCGAAGCCGCGUGAGUGAUGAAGGUACAGAGUAUCGUAAACCCCUUUUGCCAGGGAACAAAGGCGGGGACGUGUCCCCGGAUGAGCGUACCUGAAGAAAAAGCAUCGGCUAACUCCGUGCCAGCAGCCGCGGUAAUACAGAGGAUGCGAGCGUUAUCCGGAUUUAUUGGGUGUAAAGGGCGUGUAGGCGGGACUGCAAGUCAGAUGUGAAAACCACGGGCUCAACCUGUGGCCUGCAUUUGAAACUGUAGUUCGUGAGUACUGGAGAGGCAGACGGAAUUCCUAGUGUAGCGGUGAAAUGCGUAGAUAUUAGGAGGAACACCAGUGGCGAAGGCGGUCUGCUGGACAGCAACUGACGCUGAGGCGCGAAAGCGUGGGGAGCAAACAGGAUUAGAUACCCCGGUAGUC
RNAcentral lists this ribosomal RNA (460 nucleotides) under uncultured bacterium. RNAcentral's name for it is "partial 16S ribosomal RNA". It matches the Rfam family "Bacterial small subunit ribosomal RNA", at positions 338 to 795 of the family's 1533-position model. The record is from RNAcentral.